Molecule: long non-coding RNA, 1268 nt
Organism: Suricata suricatta (meerkat)
Lineage: Eukaryota; Metazoa; Chordata; Mammalia; Carnivora; Herpestidae
Exons: 3
Source: RefSeq, a predicted model, not a curated record
CCCCUGUGCCUGACCACGGCCUCCCAAGCCUGUGUCCCUAGGGCCCACCAGCUGCCGCGCAGGCGGCUGGCGCCCCGACUCUGCUUCAGGAGCAGAGUGCUCGUGUGAUGUUCCUUCGCGUCCUGCGUGCUUCUUACUUUGUUCUUCCCUUUUCUUCCAGUGACGUAAAGUCUUCCAGACUUCGGCGAAAGAAGGCUGCUCCCACCAGAGCUCCUGGCAGGGCUCACCCUCUGCUCUUUCUGCUGCUGUUACCGUGGGUUCGUCAAUGUUCUAGCCAACAAAGCGAAAGUCGUUUUACUGUCUCUGAUACAGGAUAAUGUCCACCAACUUUGGAGUAAUUACUAUCUUUUAGGAGAAGGUGUAGGAUUUGGGGCCGGAUGAGACUUAAAGAGAUCUGUGACAUUUUUCUUAGUGUGAAGUUAGCGCGGAGACGUGCUUGCUGACGGCUAACACUCAGUGUGGUCCACUAUGACCUCCUGCUCUUCAGAUAAUAAACCAACAGUGCGUUCCUACGCCUCCCUCCUCUCCGACACCCGCUCUGCACCCAGACCCUCAGAAAAGGCUGAGUGAGGCCCGGCAGGGGCUUCCGGGGUCAAAGGAGAACUUUAAUUAAACGUCCUUACACGGGGAAUCUUCGAUUUUCUAGGAAUCUUUCAAAUGCAGCAAAGCACCGCAGCUCACGCGUGGAGCAUGGCGGGGUCCAUGAGGCCGUCCCAGCGCCUGGAGGCCUCGCGCCCGGAGCCCUGCUCACUUCACUGGCCGCAUCUACGCAAGCUGAGCGCCGCAGAUACCGCCGGCUUGUUCCUGGACUCGGUUUUACAGCUGUGCCGGCCCUUGCGCCCUGGUCUUCGGGACUGUCACCCCAGACCAGGCUUGGGCCACGCGGCUCCCGGCCGUGGGAGAGCAGGACGAGGUGUCUCAGUGUCUCAGUCAGAUCCACGUGGCUUUCCGUGGCCCAGAGCCUUCCCAGGGGCACAGCCUUGGGCAGUGGACUGCAUGCCAAGAUGCCAUCCCCAAUAAGGUCAAAGUCCAGAGGAACCCAGAUCGGAGGACCGGGCGGGGCAGGAGCGGCGAGAAGGCGGCCCCCCUGGGACGGCCCUCCGCCGCGGAGGCGAGCUGCGCGUGGUCCCCGCACCUGGGCCACCCGCCGGUCCGGCAGACACAGCCCUGCGGUAUCUGCUAGGUCAUGUACAAUAUGCAAAUGUGCGGGGUGAAAGAGCACUUUAAGACCUCAGGCAUGAAAUUUAAAAUUGAAUCCUGUCAAAUCA